GCUCUUCUUGGAUGAGUUGCGAACGGGUGAGUAACGCGUAGGUAACCUGCCUUGUAGCGGGGGAUAACUAUUGGAAACGAUAGCUAAUACCGCAUAACAAUGGAUGACACAUGUCAUUUAUUUGAAAGGGGCAAUUGCUCCACUACAAGAUGGACCUGCGUUGUAUUAGCUAGUAGGUGAGGUAAUGGCUCACCUAGGCGACGAUACAUAGCCGACCUGAGAGGGUGAUCGGCCACACUGGGACUGAGACACGGCCCAGACUCCUACGGGAGGCAGCAGUAGGGAAUCUUCGGCAAUGGGGGCAACCCUGACCGAGCAACGCCGCGUGAGUGAAGAAGGUUUUCGGAUCGUAAAGCUCUGUUGUAAGUCAAGAACGGGUGUGAGAGUGGAAAGUUCACACUGUGACGGUAGCUUACCAGAAAGGGACGGCUAACUACGUGCCAGCAGCCGCGGUAAUACGUAGGUCCCGAGCGUUGUCCGGAUUUAUUGGGCGUAAAGCGAGCGCAGGCGGUUUGAUAAGUCUGAAGUUAAAGGCUGUGGCUC
RNAcentral lists this ribosomal RNA (543 nucleotides) under Streptococcus thermophilus. Its description in RNAcentral is "bacterial SSU rRNA". It matches the Rfam family "Bacterial small subunit ribosomal RNA", at positions 80 to 610 of the family's 1533-position model. Lineage: Bacteria; Bacillati; Bacillota; Bacilli; Lactobacillales; Streptococcaceae. The record is from RNAcentral.